This 1964-nucleotide long non-coding RNA is filed under the name Theobroma cacao (cacao). RNAcentral describes it as "long non-coding RNA (TCAC_LNC006492)". The record is from RNAcentral. Lineage: Eukaryota; Viridiplantae; Streptophyta; Magnoliopsida; Malvales; Malvaceae.
AAAAAAAAAGUGCAUACAAAAAUAGAUCUUCUCUUAUUCUUACAAAACCCCAGGAGAUAACUUAAUCUCUCCAGAAAGCAAGCUGAGCAGUUCUUACUCUGUCUGGUGACAAAACCAAACCAAGCAAGAAAGCUUAAAGAAUGCCGUAAAGUGAUCACAGAAAAUACCGAUUCGCCACGGGGUGAAGGUAAGGCAGAAAAGACUGGCGCCGAAGGAAGGAACAGACUGUAGCAUAAGCCGAAAAAGGCGCGAAUGCAGAUCCGAAGGCGGUUGCGGCAAGGUGCGUCUGGUGGUAUCGUAUAUAAGAGAACUGCUGCAUUUAGGAGUGAUCUGUUCAUCUAACUUAAAAUGGAAUAAGAGAAGAAAGAGAAAGUACAGUAAAAUGGUACGCCCGGUUCACCAGGUUCUACCACUGCGGGGCCCAAUCAUACUCAAAAGAAGAGUUUGAUCCUGGCUCAGAAGGAACGCUAGCUAUAUGCUUAACACAUGCAAAUCGCAAAAAUGUUCGAUCAUCAAGCUUACACUCACUGAAAGCGGCAGGAAUCGAGGGGUUGUUGGAGCAUCCGGGGAGACUCGAGAAGGGUUCGAAUCCCUUUCCUCACGUUAGGUUAGUUUUGAAAAAAAAACGAACUCUUCGAUUUUAUGAACCAAGAAUGAUGAAUCAAAGAAAAGUGCCAAAGUUAUUUUUGAAGUUCUGUUUCACUUUCCUCUUCCUUUUUAUGAGUCGAUUGCUUUUCGAAUGGAGUCUUACUUGGGCAGCUGCGGUCUUUGUUCCAUGGAUCUCUUUUUAAAUUUCUGUCAUGGAUGGGCUGCCUCUUUCCGUCGGAGGAAGGGGUGCUAGCUCUUCGGGGCGACCCCCUAUUGAUCUGAAUCUUCCUCCUGCUCCGGAGCCUGCCUCAACCUCGGACCAGCCGCAGGAAGAGGUGGAGCUACGUCGUCAGAUGGAAGAGCAUCUUUUGGCUCGCUUAGUUGCCAAGUAGCCUCCGGGUUCGAAUCCGGAUCUGCUUUUAAAGCAAGCGCGGGAGACCGCUCAGCUGAAAAGGCAGAUCGUGGACCGUAUGCCGGAAUUGGAUCCCGACCACUCUUACUUUUGGCGAGAUCAGAGAUAUAGAAUCAUUACGGAUUCUAUUCUGACAAAUCGGGAACAAGCGGACUACGCGCCUCACCGUCUGCGACAGAUGCUCAAUGACUUGAGCAAACCCGAUUCACCUACUUUGAGGAAAAUGCUCAAAAUAAGAAAGCAUUUUCAGGAAAAAGUUUCAAAUAUUAAGUUAAGUCUUUCCUUUCUUUUAGUCGAGCAGCUCGGUCAGUCGAGUCCUAUGAGUAGAGAACGACAUAACAUAGGGCCCAGUACGAUUUUUCGAUGAAACUCAUAGCGCGUAACGUCAUAUGAGUGGUGGGACGUCUCCCCGGUGCUAUAUCACUCCACUCUUAUUAAAAAGUAUCGUAUGAGUGGAUUUUUCAUAAAGUCCUAAAAGUGACCAGGCCCGGCUGUGCUCACGCACUCACCCGUACGACCUGUCCUUUAUUCUCAUAUAAGAGAAGCAUCCCCGUGAGCACUCUUCUUUAAGGCCUACCACGCUUACGCCUUACUCAGUAGGCCCGGUAAUAGCUAUCCGUCUUUCUCUGCCCUGUCCUGCCUUAUCUUAUUUCACUCGAUCUACACUACCUCCAUGUAUGGAUAUUGGGUCAGCAUGGGAAUUCCGCUAUCGAAUGGGUUUCACUCAUAGCUGUAGGAGUUAAAAAAGCCUCCGUUCCUUGGCUUUCUACGGGAUGUUCCUUUCCUCGAUCGGUCUUUCUUUCUUCUGUUUUCUCUUAUUUAUCCUUUUUGACAUGCCACUUACAGGGAAAUGCUAUUUGCUACUUUUCCCAGAGGAAGGGGAACGAUCGGCCGUCCGUAUGGAAAGAGGAACAAGAGCAUAAAUCAGUAGUCACUCUGCUACUUAAAGAUAUUGCGUUUAAAU